Musca domestica (house fly) is the source of this 4846-nucleotide long non-coding RNA. RefSeq lists it as uncharacterized. The transcript is spliced from 3 exons. The record is from RefSeq and is a predicted model, not a curated record. Lineage: Eukaryota; Metazoa; Arthropoda; Insecta; Diptera; Muscidae.
CGUCAAAUAGGUGUCCUAAUACACAUACGUGUAAUAUAUGCCGUGCAAGGCAUCAUACCCUGUUACAUAAGCCAACUAGAACGGCGCCAUCAAGUAGCAGUGUGUCCAACACAACUCCUUCGGCUCCCAGUACCCAAUUGAGUUCAAAUCUAGAUAAUGUUAUAAUGCAAACCCUACAACAAUCAAUCGCCAAAGUUUUUCUAGGUACUGCUAUAGUAGAUCUUCUUCAAGGGGGUAUGUCUUAUCCUGUGCUAGCCCUCAUUGACCCUGCGUCAGAGGCUACUUUUAUAACUGAGCACCUUCCAAAAUCAAAUUGUCUUGUCGCUCCACUCUCGCUAACAUUUCUGGGAUAAAUGGUUCUUCUUCCGUCACCAUUAAGUCGCCGGAUUUUAUUGCUGUUCCAUUUUUCAUUCGUUUUUCCAACGAAUAUUCAUCAAAAACCAAGGUAAGUUUGUGCUUAUAUUAUCCAAGUGAACGUCAAUAGUGCAUUUAAAAUAAAAAGAAACACAUUAAAUUUCAUUGCGUUAGUCAAAGUGUGUUUUGCCGUCGGCAAUUUGGUUUUUCUUUUCCAUCUAACGCACAGUGUUUCUAUUUUGAUUUCAAAAAGUAUUAAUUUUUUCCGUAUACUUCGAGCCAAUUAAAGUUCAAUAUUAAAUAUUCCCUUAAAUCGCCACAUAUUUCUUAGAUUAUUUAAUAAAUAAAGUGAAUAGAUAUUUCAUUUAUUACUUUAUACUUUCAAUUUUUUAUAAUAUUAAUUUCAAUUUAAUUUUCUUAUUCACCUUUUUCUCAGCAGUGUGUUUUAUUCUCAUUUUCCCUUUUCGUUUUGCCGCGAAAAUAUUGCAUUUUUUCAAUUAUCCAUCGCCGUUUGUUGUUUUCAUUAUUAUUGUUGUUGUAAGAGAACCCUCGCUGAAUCUCUUCAACAACAUCAAUAUUUACAUACAGUCACACAUACUUCCCACUCAGCCAAAACAAGCAGCGCUCUGUUGUGUUAUUCAACAGUUAUCGGUUAUUUUCUGUUGGUGUUCUCUUCGCUUAUUCGUGCACCCUACCGUCGUUCCGUUUAUAUGGUCGCACUUUACAUAGUUUGCGACACAUAUUAUUUUAUACAUUAUUCGCACAUAUUCCGGUGGGACUAUUCAACUACCUUUGUUUAUGUUGGUAUUUAGUUCAUAUUUUCGCCGCUAGGUGUCGUCUUUUAUAUAAGAAGAUAUCUGUAAAAUAAUUAAUUUUCACUUUUUUUUUCUGACUUUUGGACAAACUGUCCUCAUAUUCGAAAAAAAAUUAGUCAUAUACGUCCCGUUUCACAACACAAUGACCCAUGUUCAUGUCCACUCUUCCUUCCACCUCUAACAGUAAUUCCACUUUGAACACCAACACUGUUCCAUUCACUCUUAAUUCCUCACAGUCCACUAGAUCUGAGAACGGAGUUAUUCUAUCUUGCUUCUCUGCGAGUUCAAGGAGAGUUUUAUUGGGGACUGCGUUUGUAAAUGUACUGUACUUGGGAGUCUCUUAUCCAGCACGUGUUCUGCUUGAUUCUGGAUCUCAGGGAACCUUUAUCUCCGAAAGAUUUUUCAAUAAAUUAAAACUUCCAUAUCAGCGUACGAAUAUGCAGAUUUCCGGCCUUAAUAAUACCACUGCUGCCUCCGUUCGAAAAUUUUGUUCCUUAAAUCUAUGUUCAAGAUUUGAUAACUCCGUACGUGUCUCGGUCCAGGCGUUUGUAGUUCCUCAUUUAUCUGGAAACCUUCUGUCGCAUACUUUGCCACCUUCACUGUUUCCUCGGCUCAAAACCGCUCUAGUAUCAGCUGGCUUCUCCCUUGGAAAAUGGACAGCGAACUCAAUGGAUAUUCACAGCAAAAACCCUAGGAAUUCGUUGGAACGCUCGUUCAGAUUCAUAUUUUUUGCGACAACGCUUUUUCCAUCUUCGUGUUCCUACACAAAAAGGAAUUCUGUCUCAGAUCUCCGAAUUAUUUGAUCCUACUGGCUGGCUUUCGCCAUGUAUUCUUGUGGCAAAAAUAAUAAUUCAGAAUAUUUGUUUCGAUGGUACUGGUUGGGACGAAGUCAUAAGUCCAGCCACCUUGCAUCAGUGAAAAAGGUUUUAAUCCGACUAUUUAAUUCUUGAUCGAGUCGGAAUUCCGAGAUGGCUCCAAUAUGUCCCUUUUGCUGAAGUUCAUUUUCAUGGAUUCUGCGAUGCUUCUGAAAAAAGUGAAGACGCUGUCUAUUCCAAAAAACUUCUUAAGAAUAAAAAUAAUAUAUCGGCACAGCUUUACAACCGACUGGUGGAGCAAAGUAUCAAUACAUCAUACAAAACUACCAUGCAAGAAACAGCAAACGCAUUUUUAUCAACUGUCCACCCAAACAAUGUUUAUACAACUGGAAACAACAUUUAUCGAGUGUCAUCAAUAAAUCAUCAUGUUGGUGUAGUCAUUGGAAAUCAAAUCAUUAACGACAUAAGUCGGGGCUCUAGUGUACCCUACAUUUGGCCGCUAAGCAUCUGAACUACCAAUACAAUUUAUUAAUUUUUGGGAAAAAUAAUAAUAAUAAUAUAUAGUGGUGAUUGUAACUCGUAUACCCUACUAUCGGUACGAACUGAAAUAUUAAUUAUUGUUAUUAUUUGCUGUUUUUUAUUUUUUUUGUUUUUUGCAUUUUGGAAUAUUUAUACAAAUAUUAUAUCGUUUUUACAAUUUAUUAAUUUUUGGGAAAAAUAAUAAUAAUAUAUAGUGGUGAUUGUAACUCGUAUACCCUACUAUCGGUACGAACUGAAAUAUUAAUUAUUGUUAUUAUUUGCUGUUUUUUAUUUUUUUUUUAUUUUUUGCAUUUUGGAAUAUUUAUACAAAUAUUAUAUCGUUUUUGGAGUACUUCUCGAAAUUUAUUGCUUUUCUAACUCUACUUUUCUACACUUGAUAACGAUUUCAGCAGAAAAUCCAUGUGUUUCCCUACGUUUAGUUGGUUUCUUUUAAUUUGUGGUUAGCCUCUCCAGAAUAUUAGUAUUUCCACCUUUUUAAAUUUGCACUUUAAUUUUGAGAAUAUCAUUGGAGUUAAGAUACUUUGGGCCUUUUCCGUAAUUCAGUUUAGACUUCUCUGAAAGAAUUUCGGAAUUGUUCAUCUUUCUGAAAUAAGUAGACAGAAUCUUGUAAAAAAUGUCGGUUACCCCCUUAACCCGUGCUUCUGAUAAUGUGGUAAAGUUUAUUGCCUCUUUUCAUUUGCUAAAUCCAGGUAACCGUACGGUUUUCAACCUCGAAAAUCAGAGCACGGAACUUCAAGAUUUAUGGGGUAAAGUCAAAGACAUUUGUGAUAAGUGUAUUGAUUAUUUUAUGACUUUAGACGGUGCGACUACCGAUGAAAUUUCUUCUGCGGACUCCAUAUACCAAUCGACGUGUCAGAACUACAUUGAUUGCUUGUCAGAAAUUAAUGCAAAGUUGCUGAGUUUGAGGUCGGUGAAAUCUCCUCCAGCAACUCCCACAGUUAUAAACGUUAGCACACCGCAAAGUAAACAGUAAAUGCAAACUGGUUGUGCAUCUAGUCGGCCUAAUAUGGGUCGUCCAAUUCUGUCAAUAUGUCGAGUCACAGUUUAAAUUUGUAUUCUUUGUCUAACUCUAAAACUUACCGUGACACUCUGGAUAAGUCGUCAGAUCGUCUCAAAGAUAAGUCGUCCUUAUCGUUAUGACCCGAGCUCGAUUAUUUCCUAACAGGGAGAAUUCAGACGCUGGCCUGUUUGCGUGACAUUCGAGGUAUAGAGGAUUCUAGACCAACUUCACGCAACGUUAAGGUUCACUUGGCGAAAAUUUCGACUGAUACUAUGAAAUCAUACCCUAAACAACCUUGUGUAUGCUGUCCAAAUGAAAAUCAUGUUCUUAUUCAUGUUCUCGUUUCAAAACUAGUCAUUGUAGAAGAGAACAAUUUGCGUUUUUACUCUUUAUCUAGAUACCAUUCGUCAAAUAGGUGUCCUAGUACACAUACAUGUAAUAUAUCAUGCUCCUUAUUUAUGUCCUCGUUUCAAAACAUUGUCGUUCUAUCAGAAUCUACCCAUUGUAAAAAAGUACAAUCUGUGUUUUAACAGUUUAUCUAGAGGUCAUUCGUCAAAUAGGUGUCCUAGUACACAUACGUGUAAUAUAUGCCGUGCAAGGCAUCAUACCCUGUUACAUAAGCCAACUAGAACGGCGCCAUCAAGUAGCAGUGUGUCCAACACAACUCCUUCGGCUCCCAGUACCCAAUUGAGUUCAAAUCUAGAUAAUGUUAUAAUGCAAACCCUACAACAAUCAAUCGCCAAAGUUUUUCUAGGUACUGCUAUAGUAGAUCUUCUUCAAGGGGGUAUGUCUUAUCCUGUGCUAGCCCUCAUUGACCCUGCGUCAGAGGCUACUUUUAUAACUGAGCACCUUCCAAAAUCAAAUUGUCUUGUCGCUCCACUCUCGCUAACAUUUCUGGGAUAAAUGGUUCUUCUUCCGUCACCAUUAAGUCGCCGGAUUUUAUUGCUGUUCCAUUUUUCAUUCGUUUUUCCAACGAAUUUUCAUCAAAAACCAAGUUAUCCACUAUGACUGAAGAGAAUAACAUAAACUUUAACAAUAUCUUUCUAAGCUCGGAACUCGUGCACAAUACUUCAGAAUGUCAAAAUUUUACACAACCAAAUCCUGAGGCAUUAAAAACGAUAACGGAAGCCCUUGCUCAGACUAUUGAACCCAUGUUUUUGAGGCUAACGACUGAAGUAACUUCAAUGCGGGAAGAAAUAAAUUCCCUACGGAAUGAAGUGAAAGGUUUGAAGAAAGAAACAUUAUUGAAGUUCGUGAUUCCUGAUAACGCUUUUAAAGACUUGGAUGAUUUUUUAAAGUUCGAAAAACAGUUAGAGGAUGAU